AACGGGUGCGUAACACGUGAGCGACCUACCCUGGAAUGGGGGAUAGCCGGCCCAACGGCCGGGUAAUACCGCAUACGCUCUUCGAGCUUCAUGGCUUGGAGAGGAAACCUUUUGGGUUCCUGGAGGGGCUCGCGGCCUAUCAGCUAGUUGGUGAGGUAACGGCUCACCAAGGCUAUGACGGGUAGCUGGUCUGAGAGGAUGGCCAGCCACAUUGGGACUGAGAAACGGCCCAGACUCCUACGGGAGGCAGCAGUGGGGAAUAUUGCGCAAUGGUCGAAAGACUGACGCAGCGACGCCGCGUGGAGGAUGAAGCCCCUCGGGGUGUAAACUCCUGUUGCCCGGGACGAACCUCUCCUUUCGAGGAGACUGACGGUACCGAGUGAGGAAGCACCGGCUAACUCUGUGCCAGCAGCCGCGGUAAUACAGAGGGUGCGAGCGUUGUCCGGAAUCACUGGGCGUAAAGGGCGCGUAGGCGGCUUGGUAAGCGUGCGGUGAAAGCUCAGGGCUCAACCCUGAGUCUGCCGUGCGAACUGCCAGGCUAGAGCACGGUAGAGGCACAUGGAAUUCCGGGUGUAGCGGUGGAAUGCGUAGAGAUCCGGAAGAACACCGGUGGCGAAGGCGGUGUGCUGGGCCGUAGCUGACGCUGAGGCGCGACAGCGUGGGGAGCAAACAGGAUUAGAUACCCUGGUAGUCCACGCCGUAAACGAUGGGCACUAGGCCCUUGGGGGAGCGACCCCCUGAGGACCGGCGCAAACGCAUUAAGUGCCCGCCUGGGGAGUACGGCCGCAAGGCUGAAACUCAAAGAAUUGACGGGGCCGCACAAGCGGUG
This 829-nucleotide ribosomal RNA is filed under the name uncultured bacterium. Its description in RNAcentral is "bacterial SSU rRNA". It matches the Rfam family "Bacterial small subunit ribosomal RNA", at positions 101 to 934 of the family's 1533-position model. The record is from RNAcentral.